AAACUCAAAGGAAUUGACGGGACCGCACAAGCAGCGGAGCGUGUGGUUUAAUUCGAUGCUACACGAAGAACCUUACCAGGGUUUGACAUGUAAGUGGUAGUGAUCUGAAAAGUGAACGACCCUUCGGGGAGCUUACACAGGUGCUGCAUGGCUGUCGUCAGCUCGUGUCGUGAGAUGUUCGGUUAAGUCCGCUAACGAGCGCAACCCUCACUGUGUGUUAUACGUGUCACACGGGACUGCCGGUUUUAAGCCGGAGGAAGGCGAGGAUGACGUCAAGUCAGCAUGGCCUUUAUAUCCUGGGCUACACACACGCUACAAUGGUCUGUACAACAGGUUGCCAAACCGCGAGGUGGAGCCAAUCCCUAAAACAGGCCUCAGUUCAGAUUGCAGGCUGCAACCCGCCUGCAUGAAGUUGGAGUUGCUAGUAAACGCAGGUCAGCCAUACUGCGUUGAAUACGUUCCCGGGGCUU
This 470-nucleotide ribosomal RNA is filed under the name uncultured Anaerolineaceae bacterium. RNAcentral's name for it is "bacterial SSU rRNA". It matches the Rfam family "Bacterial small subunit ribosomal RNA", at positions 897 to 1382 of the family's 1533-position model. Lineage: Bacteria; Bacillati; Chloroflexota; Anaerolineae; Anaerolineales; Anaerolineaceae. The record is from RNAcentral.